UGAAUUAUAUAAUGAUGGUCAUUAUUAUUGGACAAAGCUAAUAAUGGGCUAAGCCCAUAAGCAAACCUAAUUGCAUUAGGUUACGUGCUUCACAUAUGUAUAUAUACGAAAGUAUGUUAUGAUAUGUGGCGGGGUUUUUACUUCUGGCCGAAACCUAAUCAUAAAGGCGAAAUGUUCGACAAGUUUUGAGAUUCGAUCUCAACGAUACUAGCAUCCCGUCUUGAUCCAGUUUGUGUGCGUGUGGAUACCGGUACAGGCACAAUAUUUGGAGUGCUAAAUAACUUCGGUUUGUUUCACUCAUCUUUCCACUGCGAAUAACCAGGAAUUACUGUUUGUGGAUGCUGGUUAAGAAAACGUUAGCAAAGUCAUGGCAACUCUUGAUGGAGUUCACCGGGUUUUGAAUCCAGAUGGGGUUUUCAUUUCCAUUGCAUUUGGCCAGGCGUCCUUUGUUUAUGGAUCCCAAGUUAACUUGCUCCUUGGAGAUAACACUUUUGGCGAUGGAUUCCAUUAAUUUUUCCAUACAAAGGAGAAGAGACUUAAUGAUGACAAAGUAGAAAAUAAGAUAUAUAAUGAUCAUCAAUAAACAUGUAUCAAGAUGAACUUGAAGGUGAAGAAUUAAUACAUCUUUCAAACAAAC
This is a long non-coding RNA of Brassica napus (rape), 637 nucleotides long. RefSeq lists it as uncharacterized. The record is from RefSeq and is a predicted model, not a curated record. The transcript is spliced from 4 exons. NCBI's taxonomy places the organism in Eukaryota, Viridiplantae, Streptophyta, Magnoliopsida, Brassicales, Brassicaceae.